AUGUUUCCUUGAGAAACACAUGACCAAUAAGUCAGAACAAUCAACCCUUUGAUGUGAAGACUGGCUAGCCAGCCCAUCAGGCCUGUGAAAUAUACCAGCAGCAAAGCACUAGCCUGCAUUUAGAGAAGUGAUCAGUCUGCCUGGAGUAGCUAACAUGAUUCAGGUUUUGCAGAAGGAAAUGAACUAACUUGAGACCAGAGCCUGCCAACCCUUACUUGUACAGCUCUUCAUGCAAAUUUCAGAUGUCUCCCUCUCAGUGGCAACUCUUUAUAUGAUGCCAGGGCCUUCACAUCAUAUACAGGAUCGAGACUAACACGGCUACCCCUCUGAUAGUAGAAGAAAGUGGUUCUUGAACUCAGGGCUCUGGACUGAACAGAACCCAUAAACAGAAUUUGGUAUGUGGAAUGAGGAAAAUAUGGUGAGUUAAAUAAAACAGGAGGCCAGCCAUGCAUCAGCUAGUCUGCAACUCAGAUUGGAUUUGUAUUGAGGGCUCAUCAAAAUGCACAUCGGAAACAAGAUCUGCCCAUCAGCUUGCUGAGA
This is a long non-coding RNA of Mauremys reevesii (Reeves's turtle), 540 nucleotides long. RefSeq lists it as uncharacterized. The transcript is spliced from 5 exons. NCBI's taxonomy places the organism in Eukaryota, Metazoa, Chordata, Testudines, Geoemydidae. The record is from RefSeq and is a predicted model, not a curated record.